RNAcentral lists this ribosomal RNA (485 nucleotides) under uncultured bacterium. RNAcentral's name for it is "partial 16S ribosomal RNA". It matches the Rfam family "Bacterial small subunit ribosomal RNA", at positions 28 to 523 of the family's 1533-position model. The record is from RNAcentral.
GACGAACGCUGGCGGCGUGCUUAACACAUGCAAGUCGAACGGUGAAGGUGGAGCUUGCUCCGCCGGAUCAGUGGCGAACGGGUGAGUAACACGUGGGCAACCUGCCCCUCACUUCGGGAUAACUCCGGGAAACCGGGGCUAAUACCGGAUACGACCUCCUUGGGCAUCCUUGGAGGUGGAAAGUUUUUCGGUGAGGGAUGGGCCCGCGGCCUAUCAGCUUGUUGGUGAGGUAGUGGCUCACCAAGGCGACGACGGGUAGCCGGCCUGAGAGGGCGACCGGCCACACUAGGACUGAGACACGGCCCAGGCUCCUACGGGAGGCAGCAGUGGGGAAUAUUGCGCAAUGGGCGAAAGCCUGACGCAGCAGCGCCGCGUGCGGGAUGAAGGCCUUCGGGUUGUAAGCCGCUUUCAGCAGGGAAGAAGCCGCAAGGUGACGGUACCUGCAGAAGAAGCACCGGCUAACUACGUGCCAGCCGCCGCCGUAA